UCCCAAAAUAUAUGUUAAGUGGAAAAGGAUGUGGCGUUGCCCAGACAACUAGGAUGUUGGCUUAGAAGCAGCCAUCAUUUAAAGAGUGCGUAAUAGCUCACUAGUCGAGUGACACUGCGCCGAAAAUGUACCGGGGCUAAACAUAUUACCGAAGCUGUGGAUUGUCCUUUGGACAAUGGUAGGAGAGCGUUCUAAGGGCGUUGAAGCAUGAUCGUAAGGACAUGUGGAGCGCUUAGAAGUGAGAAUGCCGGUGUGAGUAGCGAAAGACGGGUGAGAAUCCCGUCCACCGAUUGACUAAGGUUUCCAGAGGAAGGCUCGUCCGCUCUGGGUUAGUCGGGUCCUAAGCUGAGGCCGACAGGCGUAGGCGAUGGAUAACAGGUUGAUAUUCCUGUACCACCUAUAAUCGUUUUAAUCGAUGGGGGGACGCAGUAGGAUAGGCGAAGCGUGCGAUUGGAUUGCACGUCUAAGCAGUAAGGCUGAGUAUUAGGCAAAUCCGGUACUCGUUAAGGCUGAGCUGUGAUGGGGAGAAGACAUUGUGUCUUCGAGUCGUUGAUUUCACACUGCCGAGAAAAGCCUCUAGAUAGAAAAUAGGUGCCCGUACCGCAAACCGACACAGGUAGUCAAGAUGAGAAUUCUAAGGUGAGCGAGCGAACUCUCGUUAAGGAACUCGGCAAAAUGACCCCGUAACUUCGGGAGAAGGGGUGCUCUUUAGGGUUAACGCCCAGAAGAGCCGCAGUGAAUAGGCCCAAGCGACUGUUUAUCAAAAACACAGGUCUCUGCUAAACCGUAAGGUGAUGUAUAGGGGCUGACGCCUGCCCGGUGCUGGAAGGUUAAGAGGAGUGGUUAGCUUCUGCGAAGCUACGAAUCGAAGCCCCAGUAAACGGCGGCCGUAACUAUAACGGUCCUAAGGUAGCGAAAUUCCUUGUCGGGUAAGUUCCGACCCGCACGAAAGGCGUAACGAUUUGGGCACUGUCUCAACGAGAGACUCGGUGAAAUCAUAGUACCUGUGAAGAUGCAGGUUACCCGCGACAGGACGGAAAGACCCCGUGGAGCUUUACUGUAGCCUGAUAUUGAAAUUCGGCACAGCUUGUACAGGAUAGGUAGGAGCCUUUGAAACGUGAGCGCUAGCUUACGUGGAGGCGCUGGUGGG
This 1150-nucleotide ribosomal RNA is filed under the name Staphylococcus aureus. RNAcentral's name for it is "partial 23S ribosomal RNA". It matches the Rfam family "Bacterial large subunit ribosomal RNA", at positions 1045 to 2196 of the family's 2925-position model. Lineage: Bacteria; Bacillati; Bacillota; Bacilli; Caryophanales; Staphylococcaceae. The record is from RNAcentral.